This 253-nucleotide ribosomal RNA is filed under the name uncultured bacterium. Its description in RNAcentral is "partial 16S ribosomal RNA". It matches the Rfam family "Bacterial small subunit ribosomal RNA", at positions 524 to 776 of the family's 1533-position model. The record is from RNAcentral.
UACGAAGGGGGCUAGCGUUGCUCGGAAUCGCUGGGCGUAAAGCGCACGUAGGCGGAUUGCUAAGUCAGGGGUGAAAUCCUGGAGCUCAACUCCAGAACUGCCUUUGAUACUGGCGAUCUUGAGUCCGGGAGAGGUGAGUGGAACUGCGAGUGUAGAGGUGAAAUUCGUAGAUAUUCGCAAGAACACCAGUGGCGAAGGCGGCUCACUGGCCCGGUACUGACGCUGAGGUGCGAAAGCGUGGGGAGCAAACAGG